CUAUAACAAACUAGCAGAAAUGGAUUCUCUUGAAGUUGACCUGGGGAGAAGAGAGCAAGCCAGAUGACUCAUGAGUCCUCCUCCAAACCAGAAUGAUUCCUUAUUGAUUUUUAGGUAUUUCUGCCUGAAACCUUCCUUUGUUCUUAUAUUUUGUUCAAUCAGCAUAGCAUAGCAAUAUGCUUUUGAGCUAGAAUGUAUCAAGUGUGUGAAUGGAUUCAGGGCCCCUCCCAACAUCAUUUCUAUUGUUUCUUCCUGAUUGUUUGGGCUCAUGGUGGCAUUGUGGGGUUAUACAGUGGUACCUCGGGUUAAGUACUUAAUUCGUUCCAGAGGUCCGUUCUUAACCUGAAACUGUUAUUAACCUGAAGCACCAUUUUAGCUAAUGGGGCCUCCCACUGCCGCCGCGCCGCCGGAGCAUGAUUUCUGUUCUUAUCCUGAAGCAAAGUUCUUAACCUGAAGCACUAUUUCUGGGUUAGCAGAGUCUGUAACCUGAAGUGUAUGUAACCCGAGGUACCACUGUACAUGAGUCUCUUUGUGCCUGUAAAAAAUUUGGGGUUGACAUACUACUUUGUUUCCAAUCAGCACAUGGCUGGUAGCUUCCAGCUGAAAUCCAACAACGUUUUAUACCACAAAAGCUCCAUUUUAUCCCUCUGCCCACACUUUUAUUUUCACAUACGCACAGUGGCAGAUGUGGAACAAGUCCUGACCCCACUCUGCCCAUUCCUUUCCCCCAGAUUGGUUCAAAAGGAUUUUUGAUCAUUCCCAAAGGAAAUGUGUUAUGUCAGCCUGGUAUUUUAACCCCUGUCUGAAGUCAAACUGUCUUCCACAAAGUUCCGUUCCUUUUUAUAUUCCUGUCUUCUUGUGAUGCAGCUCUAGGUCAAUACAAGUGCUUGCCAUAAACACAUGCUGAUAAUAGACUGAGAAAUAAGAACUCACAUUUUCAGCCAGCGUUUGGUUGAUGGAAAAAUGACACACUUCCUAUUGGCUUCUUGACAGGUGUAAUUCAUCUUGGCACUGCUGGCUUAAUCUGGACCACUUCAGCAAUCGUUACAGCUCAUUUAUCCCCUUUCUAUUCAUUCCUUAUGUGUGUUUAAGAAAAGAAAAAAGAAUUUCUAGCCUAUCCCUUUUGGGUGCAAAAAAUAUGAGGCUCUAAUAAUGAGUAUGUAGCUAGAUGGGUAAAAUGCUUCAGGAUUCAAUGAUACAUAUUGAAAUCCUUAUUGCUAGUCUUUUCCAGACUUGUUUCGUGCAAACUGCUUUGCAGUUACUAAUGAAGCAGUGCCAAGAAAAACUGGAGGAGCUGCCUCUUCCCUAAUACAGAGACAUCACUCAAUCAAACAUGCAUUAGAGAGUUGAUUGGCAUUAGAGAAAGAUUCUUCUUCAGUAUCCUGUGAGCAACAUCAACACCUAAGGCCCGGAGAGUGUAUUUGCACUAACAUGAUGUCAUUCAAAAUCCCAUGGCAUGUAGGCACUAUUUAAGUUGUUUAAUAUAGCAAACAAUGAACCUAGCUCUUUGAAACAUGGGAUUGUAUUGAGGAUUAGUCAUUCUCAGAGAAGACCCUCUGAAAUUCAUGGACAUGACUAAAUCACUCUGGGCAAAACUUAGUUGGAUGCAACCCAUAGGAAACUGCUGUACACCAGGCCAGAUGAUUUGUCAAUCAAUAUUAUCUAGUCUCUGACUUGUAGCAGGUUUGCGGCAGAGAGAGACUUUCACAUAACCUGCUACCUGAUGCUUUUGAACCUUCUACCACUGAGCUACAAUCCCUUCCCAGUUCCAGUUCUAGAAUUCAAAUUCAAAAGUCUCUCAGGUUCUUCUUAACAAUGAGCUGCCAAGCGCAUGGUUGCUCUAGACAAUGGAACAACUAAGCUAAUGUGGUGUAGUGGUUAAGAGCGGUAGUCUCGUAAUCUGGGGAACCGGGUUCGCGUCUCCGCUCCUCCACAUGCAGCUGCUGGGUGACCUUGGGCCAGUCACACUUCUCUGAAGUCUCUCAGCCCCACUCACCUCACAGAGUGUUUGUUGUGGGGGAGGAAGGGAAAGGAGAAUGUUAGCCGCUUUGAGACUCCUGAAGGGGAGUGAAAGGCGGGAUAUCAAAUCCAAACUCUUCUUCUUCUUCUUCUAAUGGCAGUCAGAGAAUUCUAGGCCCACGGAGACAUCAAAGCAGCAGUCCCUCCUUGGAGAAGACAAGCAAAGCACAUGAGCUAUGCAUCAGUUAACUUCAUAGAUACAUGGACAAACAAUGAUGUGCACCAGACAUUUUUAAAAGGCUCUUACUUGCUGCUGUAUGGAGAAUGCAAGGGUUGCAUAGGUUGUGUGCAUGCCACAUGCCAGAGAGUAGGACUUCCAUUGGAGUAAUGUGGAAAGUGGGAUCCCCUCAAAAAUUGGUUGCAACCUGUGCUUUUUAAUGAGCAGUGAAGUGGCCAAGGUUAAUGGUGAUACUAAGUUGCCCAGGGUCUUUAAAACAAACAAACAAACAAACAAACAUUGCAAAGAGCUCCAAAAGGGCCUCUCCAAACCACGUGAAUGGGCAGUAAAAUGGCAGAUGCAAUUCAAUGUAAACAAGUGUAAAGUGAUGUGUGUCAAGGAAAAACAGUUGGGAAAAGUUCAGAAAAGGGCAACUAGGGGAUGGAGGAACUCCCUGAUGAGGAAAGUCUGCAGCGUUUGGGGCUUUUCAGUUUUGAGAAAAGGUGAUUAAGGGGUGACAUGCUGAAAGGGUAUGAAAUUAUGCAUGGCAUGCAUGAAGAAGGUGGAUAGAGAAAAGCUUUUCUCUCUCUCUCAUAACACUAGAACACUAGAACAUGAAGUGGAGCUGAACGUAGGAGGACUGAGGACAGAUAAAUGGAAGUACUCAUUCACAGAGCAUGUAGCUGAACUGUGGAACUUGCUCCAACAAGAGGCAGUGAUGGCCACCAACUGGAUGGCUUUGAAAGAGAAUUAGAUAAAUUCAUGUAGGUAAAUGCUAUCAGUGGCUACUAGUCCUGAUGGCUGUGUGUUGCCUCCACUAUCAGAGACAGUAUGCUUCUGAAUAUCAUUACAGUGGUACCUCGGGUUACAAACACCUCAGGUUACAAACACUUUGGGUUACAGAAUCCACUAACCCGGAAGUAGUACCUUGGGUUAAGAACUUUACUUCAGGAUGAGAACAGAAAUAGCAUGGUGGUGGCAUGGCAACAGUGGGAGGCCCCAUUAGCUAAAGUGGUACCUCAGGUCAAGAACAGUUUCAGGUUAAGAACGGACCUCCAGAACGAAUCAAGUUCGUAACCAGAGGUACCACUGUAUUUGGAAACUAGAGGAGAGGAGAAUGCUCUUCCCCUUGCCCCUGGCCUGAUACAGCAGGUUCUCCCUGUGUUCUUGUGAACAGUUGAGUUCCUGGGCCUCCAUGGCAAUGUGUCGUGGAAUUCAUUGUAAAAGAAAAAGAAGUGCUUUGCAAAGAAGUGUUUUCUUGUGGUAAAAUACAAAUACAUCGUUACAGGCUGACUUCAAGGAUUAGAUGUGUGAUUUCUGAUUUGGACCAUUUAGAGAGUGAAGGAAAACCAGCUUAUUGACUUUGACUAUAAGACCAAAAAUGGUUUGCUCUGUAAAAACUUAAUUAUUUAUUUUCAAGGGGCCCAAAAUGGAUAUUUUUUGUGAAAUAUCUCCCAUGAAAUAGACUUUCAGUUUGCAAGCUUUACUGCCACCUGUUAGCCUGGAAAAAUUACUUUAUGCUCCUCUUAAUUCUCCAUAAUGAUACUCUUAUGCUUGAGCAACGUGCCCUGACGAACUUGAUAAUCUGUGUCUUUAAAAAGUGGAAAAUUAGUUCAGACAGCUGUGGCUUUGGAGGAAAAAACGAGCUUAAGUUCUCAGAAAUUGUAGAUGGUGUCUGAGCUGCACACAUAGUGGUGAUGACUGUAUCCCACUGGCCAUUUGACCUUUGCUCUUUUCCAGCCUAAAAAUUAAGAAUAACAGCAUCCACGCACCAUUUAUAGCCUGAAUAAUAGAGAUGCUUUGCUACUAUUUAAAAUAGCCAAGAUAAUAUAAGGAGAACAUUAGCGCAAUAGUCUCACUUUUGCAAUGUAGUACAGGAAGGUCGGCUGUUGGCUGAGAGAGAGAAAGAGAAGAAGAAGAAGAAGAGUUUGGAUUUGAUAUCCCGCCUUUCACUCCCUUUAAGGAGUCUCAAAGCGGCUAGAAAGAGGUAAGCAUAUGUAGAAAACUUCCUUCUGAAUGUUUUU
This 4200-nucleotide long non-coding RNA is filed under the name Podarcis lilfordi (Lilford's wall lizard). The record is from RNAcentral. Lineage: Eukaryota; Metazoa; Chordata; Lepidosauria; Squamata; Lacertidae.